AUUGAACGCUGGCGGCAUGCCUUACACAUGCAAGUCGAACGGCAGCACGGGGGCAACCCUGGUGGCGAGUGGCGAACGGGUGAGUAACAUAUCGGAACAUACCCUAGAGUGGGGGAUAACGUAGCGAAAGUUACGCUAAUACCGCAUACGAUCUAAGGAUGAAAGUGGGGGAUCUUCGGACCUCAUGCUCAUGGAGUGGCCGAUAUCUGAUUAGCUAGUUGGUGAGGUAAAGGCUCACCAAGGCGACGAUCAGUAGCUGGUUUGAGAGAACGACCAGCCACACUGGAACUGAGACACGGUCCAGACUCCUACGGAGGCAGCAGUGGGAAUUUUGGACAAUGGGGGCAACCCUGAUCCAGCAAUGCCGCGUGAGUGAAGAAGGCCUUCGGGUUGU
This 394-nucleotide ribosomal RNA is filed under the name uncultured bacterium. RNAcentral's name for it is "bacterial SSU rRNA". It matches the Rfam family "Bacterial small subunit ribosomal RNA", at positions 30 to 426 of the family's 1533-position model. The record is from RNAcentral.